This 85-nucleotide transfer RNA is filed under the name Felis catus (domestic cat). It matches the Rfam family "tRNA". Rfam says of the family: Transfer RNA (tRNA) molecules are approximately 80 nucleotides in length. Their secondary structure includes four short double-helical elements and three loops (D, anti-codon, and T loops). The record is from Rfam by way of RNAcentral. Lineage: Eukaryota; Metazoa; Chordata; Mammalia; Carnivora; Felidae.
GCCUGGGUGGCUCAGUUGGUUGAGCAUCUGACUUUGGCUCAGGUCAUGAUCUCGUAGUUCAUGAGUUCGAACCCCAUGUCGGGCU